GAUGAACGCUGGCGGCGUGCCUAAUACAUGCAAGUCGAGCGGACAGACGGUGAGCUUGCUCCUCUGACGUGAGCGGCGGACGGGUGAGUAACACGUGUAUACCCUACCUAUAAGACUGAGAUAACUUCGGGAAACCGGAGCUAAUACGAGAUAAUAUAUUGAAGCGCGGUGGUCAUUGGUGAGAGUCGGUUUUGCUGUCUCUUAUAGAGGCAUCCGCGCGGGAUUAGCUAGUUGGUAAGGUAACGGCCUACCACGGCAACGAUGCGUAGCCGACCUGAGAGGGUGAUCGGCCACAUUGGAACUGAGACACGGUCCAGACUCCUACGGGAGGCAGCAGUCGGGAAUCUUACGCAAUGGGCGAAAGCUUGACGGAGCAACGCCGCGUGAGUGACGACGGUCUUCGGAUCGUAAAGCUCUGUUACUAGGGAAGAACCACUGUCUCAGUAAACAUGGCGGUAUUGACGGUACCUAAUAAAAAAGCACCGGCUAACUACGUG
This 497-nucleotide ribosomal RNA is filed under the name uncultured bacterium. Its description in RNAcentral is "partial 16S ribosomal RNA". It matches the Rfam family "Bacterial small subunit ribosomal RNA", at positions 28 to 507 of the family's 1533-position model. The record is from RNAcentral.